GGUUGCGAUCAUACCAGUACUAAUGCACCGGAUCCCAUCAGAACUCCGCAGUUAAGCGUGCUUGGGAGAGAGUAAUACUAGGAUGGGUGACCCCCUGGGAAGUCCUCGUGUUGCAACCCC
RNAcentral lists this ribosomal RNA (120 nucleotides) under Helianthus annuus (common sunflower). Lineage: Eukaryota; Viridiplantae; Streptophyta; Magnoliopsida; Asterales; Asteraceae. The record is from RNAcentral.